CGGAGGUGCGAGAAGGGCGUUUUGCGACCUGACGCUGGCCACCCGUGGGCAGCUGCCGGGCGGGGCUCGGUGCCCGCGGGGCCCCUGUUCUGCGACCUCCCCAGCCAGGACCUCGGGAUGGCAGAGCCGGGGCAGAUCGUCAUCUUUCAAGUCACAACAGAAAGAGAGACCCAGCAAGGGCGAACGGUAGAGACACUUCAUAUGCGGGAACCCUGAUCCUUCCAGCUUUCCGAUUUCCACUGGAGGCUGAUGCAGCUGGAUCCAAGUAGGACAUAGGACGCUUAUGUGGCCACCAUCAAAGUCAAGAAACAGACCAUGGCCAGCAUCUCAACAGCUGCACACCUGCCUUCCCCAUUAUAACCCCGACUCCCACAGGGCCACCUUGGUUUCUACAGCACUUGCUUCCAUUUGUGGUUUACUUACCUCGGUGCUCAUUCCUAAGAGAGUAUGGUUUUACAUUGCCUAUUUUCCAACUUUCUGUAAGUGGAAUUAUACUAUUUGAAGUGUUAUCUAUGUCAUUGCACACAGUAAUGUCCGUUCAUUUUACUUGCUGUGUAAUAUUCUAUCAUUUGCUGCUGAUCACCCCAAAUUCUACUGUGGAUGGACACGUGGGUUGUUUUCAGUUUGGGACUCUUAUUGACAAUGCUGCUCUGACCAUUUUUGGCCAACUGACCUGCGUGGCAGUCCCCGGGAUCUGAACCUAGGAGUUGCUGGCCAGUAGGGUAUGCAGAUCUUUAUACAAGAUAAAGACAAACUGAUUCCAGAGGGGUGGUAACUAUUCACAUUCUCAUAGUAAUUCCAGUCUUCACCAAUGGUUCAUUUUGUCAGAUGUUUUAAUUUUGUCAGGCACGUGGGUGUGCAUUUUCCUCUAGCUAAUGAGGCUUGCACCACGUCUUAUUUCUUUUUUGAAACAUACGAUGCAUUAUGAUUUGCUAUAGUCACUGUGCAGUGCAAAUGGGUCACUAAAGCCUGUGCCUCCCUCUCACUGAAAUUCUGUACCCUUCAAGCAACCUCUCCCCUUCCUCGGCCACCCCAGUUCCCCAGCCUCCACCAACCCCCAUUUUACUCUCUACUCCUAUGAACUGGAUAUUUGUAGAUCCACAUUUAAGUGAGAUCAUGCUGUAUGUGCCUGGCUCAUUUCAUUUAGCAUUAUGUUCUCGAGGUUCAUCCAUGUUGUCACAAAUGACAGAAUUUGGUGACCGAGCGAGGCAGGGAGGGAGGGAAAGACCAGCCUUUGACCCUGCUGGACAACUGUGGCAGUCACUGCUCACUCCAGACUUCUCAUGGCGGUGGCUGGAGUUGUUCACCUGCAUCACCGUUCAACUCUCUCUCUACCAGCCCUGACCCACUUCCUUCCACAGGUGACAGUCCCCAACAAACAUCUGACAUCCCAAACUUAGUCUUUGCAUCUGCUUCUGGAGAACCCGACCUUAUGCAACAUUUACUGUUUCUUUCCUUAUGUAAUCUGCUUUCUUCUUUUUAAAAUUCUAUUUUGUCUCUCCCCCUCCCCCUUUUUAUGGCUAUUUGGAAUGGUUUGUAUUUUUGUUCUAUGGUUAUAUUUAUACUCAUAUGGUUUAUAAUGUUCUUAGUCCUCUCUUCUGUUGCUUUUUGGUUUGAUGACCUUAAAUUACAUCUUUUUAACUCCUACCUGUUAUCAAUAAACUUACUCUACAUUGCA
Non-coding RNA from Microcebus murinus (gray mouse lemur), 1678 nucleotides. Lineage: Eukaryota; Metazoa; Chordata; Mammalia; Primates; Cheirogaleidae. The record is from RefSeq and is a predicted model, not a curated record.